AGAGAGAGAGAGAGAGAGAGAGAGAGAGAGAGAGACUUAUGCUCAUUAUGUUCAUUAAUAAAAAAAAAGAAGAAGAAGCGUCAAAAGUAGAUAUAUCAUGAUGAUGGCAUUGUGAUUUGAUGGUAUGAAGUAUCAAGGAGUGUCAUCAAGUGUCUGAUAUGCCAAAAACCCAAAAGUUUGAGUCAUAACAUUGCAUUUCAGAUAGCCCCAUUUGGGUCCAUACCAGCCAUUUAACAAGGCCAUAGGAGGGUAGACUUUGUUCUAUACUAAAGAAAAUUGGAAAGACAGCUAAAAAGGUGGCAUGCCACAAACUAUGUUCGGGUUCAAGCAGACUGAAAGCAACAGCGACCCUUCUUACAGAACUAAAACCAAGGAAACAACCUGCCCUUAUAAAGAAGAGUGUUGGGUGUUUACCAGAGGAAAGAAUAAGAAAUGAAAUGCGUCUAGACGUAGAAAGAUGCCAUUAAGAAAGAAAAAUACCAAAAGAAGGGCACUAGCACAAUAGAGCGUAAGAGGAGUAAGAUUCAUAAGAUUGGUGGAUGCGAGGAUGGUCUAGCCUAAACUGACAAUGUAUGGAAGCUAAUGAUAAAUUAAACCCAAGCUUUUUAUUAUCAUGAUGAUGCUUUUUCUAGAUAAUACCAUUGCUCCAAGCAAGGAUGCCAGAUGAGAAGAUCAUGCCAAAUUAAGAUUGAUAAAUUAAAAUUCGUGGAUGCUUUUUAUUAUCCUUGCUUUUUCAAGCAAGGAUGCCGGAGAGAAGAUAAUGACAAAUUCUCAAAAUAAAGAUAUCCACAUGCUCCAUUGAAUGAGUAGAGUAGAUGGGUAGGGAAGUUCAACUAACAAUUCUCAAUGGAUGAGACAAAUAUGUGAUUAAUAACACAGUCUAGGCCCAAGUGACAGAAGUCAUUGAUAUGCAUGUUAAAAAUAGGUGUCUCUACCAACAGGAGGCACAGGAUCAAAUGCCAAGGUUCAUAACAAACUCAAAACAGAAGCUUCCACUUCUGCAUCAGAAUUACAAAGAAGGUAGACUCAAGUGUUCCAGCUAAAGGCAAUUCAUAACUUGUAUAUUUUCUCAAUAUAUCUCAUACAACAAAUAUUUGUCCCCCUAAAUUUGUUUGAGUCAAAAAAAAGAAGAAGAAGAUUGUGAUUCUAUGAUUUAAUACCCCUAUUGUUGCCCCUAAAAACAGAAAUAUCAACAAUAUAAUGUAGUAAACUGCACCUUAUGCAGGCAUAUUCAGCCAGCCGUGCAUGAUUAUCUAAUGAGACAUACAACCACGUUCUCUAUACUGGCCUUUUUAGCCAAGCUACCAGACCUGAAAUUAAGCAUUAAGAACCCAUGUUCUCAUAGUAGUGAUCCAUUAAACAAUCUACAUUCUGAUAAUUUAGCUCAACUGUCGUCCAUUUUAAAGUUACAUGGUCAUAAUUGAACAUAAUAGCACCUGAUGACCAUCAUGGAUUUUCCAUAUAAUUAGGUUUAAACAAUUGCAGUCCAGAUCAACUUUUUUUUGAGGAUUAAAAAAAAAAAAAGUAGUUGAUCUGGGCUGCUAUACGUUAAGCCUAAUAGUGUAAUUCACUCUCCUAUCAAUAUGUCAUGACCAAUGAUUUAUUUUAAAAACAUUUCAUAUAUGACUGCAGAAAAAGCUUUAACAGAAAUUACAAAUGCAACAAAGCAAAAAAGAGGUAGAGAUACAAAAUGGUGAGAGAAAAACUAACACAACAGGUCAUGCAGCUGGUACUUGAAGAUACAUGUAGUAGAAAGAUCUUUACUUAUGAUCAGGUCAAAUAGAUGGUUCUCAAAACUUAUAAACAUUUCAUACAUUGGCUGGACAACAAUAGCUGUUCAGGAUAAGUAUUCACACAUUGACAAGAGCUCCAUACGGGUUUAGCAUUCGUUAGAUCGUGUCAGUAAAAAAAAAUCUAUUGCAUGAGAAAGAACCUAAAAUUCAAGGAAAUGUAGAAUAUUGGUCAAAGCCUCAGAAACUUUGGGAAAGGUUGAAAAAUAGAUUAAAGUGAAUGAAAAGAUCCAAGUGAUUGUAUAUAUUAAUGUGCAAGUGCACAUAAAAUCAGCAAGCAUGAGAGGGACACAAACAUAGCAUCAAUAAUAUAAUAUAUACAUAUAUUACAUAAAUAAUCAAUAUUACUUAACAAUCUUUGACAAUUAUUAAAUAAGAACAAUUAAUUGAUUUGUUAGGACAGACUGAUCAUGAUCAACUGGAAGAUUUUUUUUUUUUUUUUGUUGUAUAAAAGGAGGGAGGGGGAGACCCAGCAUAGCAACCCCCUCUGGGCGAACCAUGAGGCUCCCUUCCACCACGGAAUGUCCGAUGCGCCAAAUUAAGGCGACUCACUUGACAAGCCAAGUGGCCACAGCUCCCCACCACAAGGCCAGGAAGGGGCUCCCCCUAACUCCAGGGUGAGUACGUCACCUCGGCACCCUAUCAGGCAUCCAAGCAGACCAGUACCGCUCCAUGCGCACCUGACCAAGGCCGAGGAUAUUCGGUCCCUCAUUUAAUCGGCGCCCAUGCAUUUCGAACCUUGGUCAUUUGCGUGGAAGCACAAGGCCCGUUCCGCCUAUGCUAUUGCCCGAGGGGCAACCGGAAGAUUUUCAAUAUUAGAAAAUACUGUGAGUCUAUGAUAGUUUUGCGGUUGAAUCCAUCUAUUUAUCUGAUACUGCGACAAUUCUCAAGUCAAGAGUAAAAUUACCAACCCAACCUGCUGUUUCUUCAUCAUAGAAAAAAGAUGACUUUUCAAAGCUUCAAUUUCAACUUUCACAAUUCCACAGAUAAGUAGACGAUAUUUAGAAGCAUAAAAUAAGCUCUUGAACAAUCACUAAGCAUCAUGACUAAUACAUUCUGUCUGUCCAUCAUUAUCUGUUGCAUAUUUCAAUCAAUCUUCUCUUAGGCACUGAGUAUAAUAAGGCAUCCCUCAAAGUAUUGGAAUUUUCUGAGAACUAAUAUCAUUUCUAUCAUACAAAAAUCAUAAGCAACCUUCUUGUCAGCUCCGUUUGCUUUCAAGAAAACAGGUUCUGUUCCAUCUGAGGAACAAGAAAGAAACUGAUAGAUUCGAAAAAAAAAAACAGCUGCAGCAAUAAUUCCAAUGAGGAUAGUGUUAAAAAUCAAUCAGCCACUGUUGGCUUAUGUUCUAAAAUGUUCGAGUUCGGAAUAGAGAAAAAGGGAAAAACAGCAAAUCUUGUUGUGACAUAUUUCUAUUAUUGUAUCUCAAAGCUCAUACAUUUUGUUGAAACCCCUUGGUUUACUUCCCAGAAACAGAAAAAUAGAACAGAAACAAAUAAAUCUGAAAAAUUGUCAACUUCUCUUUUUCUACAUAGAUUAUUAAGGAGUUUCACAAAUAGGAAUCCAAGGUCUAUCAUCACCAUAUUUGUCAGGAACCCAGUGAAAAGGCAUGAUUUUCUUCCAUGAAAAAAUUCCUCCUGUAAUAUCCUUGGCAUACAUCUCCUGUGAACUUCCACUUUCUCAAGUACCAGAACUGGAAUAAACAGCAAGAAAUUUAAGAGCUUGAAGUUAGACACCAACGUUCUCAGCCUCAAUACCAUGUCUAAGAUCAGUUCCCUGCAGAAAGUUGUAAUUCUGACCAAUUAGAGUCAUAAGGGACAUUAAAAGUAGAACAUUCAUGUGGAACAGAAUCUAAUCAUUAUCAAUCUAAGGCUCGAGAAGCUUUCUCAAUCGCUCAAACAAAAAUUUGGUGACAUGAAUGUCAUCAGAUAGAGAUCUGAAAAUUAUGGAGAAAAGGAAAAUUUAGCCUAAAAAUAAGAUAACAAAUCAGUAAGGGAAGA
Molecule: long non-coding RNA, 3787 nt
Filed under: Elaeis guineensis (African oil palm)
Lineage: Eukaryota; Viridiplantae; Streptophyta; Magnoliopsida; Arecales; Arecaceae
Description: long non-coding RNA (EGUI_LNC074256)
Source: RNAcentral